RNAcentral lists this ribosomal RNA (512 nucleotides) under uncultured bacterium. Its description in RNAcentral is "partial 16S ribosomal RNA". It matches the Rfam family "Bacterial small subunit ribosomal RNA", at positions 28 to 507 of the family's 1533-position model. The record is from RNAcentral.
GAUGAACGCUGGCGGCGUGCCUAACACAUGCAAGUCGAACGAAACCUCUUUAUCACCGUGCGCUUGCACUCACCGAUAAAGAGUUGAGUGGCGAACGGGUGAGUAACUCGUGGGCAACCUGUCCUAAAGAGGGGGAAAAUACUCGGAAACAGGUGCUAACACCGCAUAACCAUCGUUACAGCAUCGUAACUAUGUAAAAGGUGGCUACCGUACCCGUCUUGGAUGGGUCCGCGGCGCAUUAGCUAGUUGGUAGGGUAAAGGCUUACCAAGGCAAUGAUGCGUAGCCGAAUUGAGAGGUUGAUCGGCCACAUUGGGACUGAGACACGGCCCAAACUCCUACGGGAGGCAGCAGUAGGGAAUCUUCCACAAUGGGCGAAAGCCUGAUGGAGCAACACCGCGUGGGUGAAGAAGGUCUUCGGAUCGUAAAGCCCUGUUGUUAGAAAAGAAAGUGCGUGGGUGUAACUGUUCACGUUUUGACGGUAUCUAAACAAAAAGCCACGGCUAACUACGUG